AGCAAAAUGAAGUGGAGCUCUACCAACUUCAUCCAGCGAUGAUGCCAUUUUUGCCCUUUCCCAUGAUCUCUGUAAUUAAGAAUUGAAAUGUGAAUAAUCAUAUAUGCAUAACAUUGUAGUCUCCACUAUUUAAAUAUUCAUUUCAUUUUUCCAAUUAUCAUUUUAGCGGACAUGAAAAUUGCACAAAAUUAUAUCUGAC
RNAcentral lists this long non-coding RNA (199 nucleotides) under Olea europaea (common olive). RNAcentral describes it as "long non-coding RNA (OEUR_LNC005313)". Lineage: Eukaryota; Viridiplantae; Streptophyta; Magnoliopsida; Lamiales; Oleaceae. The record is from RNAcentral.